GGGGAAUAAGAGGAAAACACAGGGAGGGGGGGAAUAAGAGGAGAACACAAGGGGUGGGAGAUGAGAACGUAGGGGAGGGAGAGACCACUAAAGGAGGGAGGGGGCAGUGGAGAGACCACUAGGGGAGGGGUGUGAGGAGAGACCGCUAAGGGAGGGGGGUGGAGGAUAGACCACUAGGGAAGGGUGGGGGGAGAGGAGAGACCACUAAUGGAAAGUCGGGGAGAAAAGGAGACCACUAAGGGAGGUGGGGGGGAAAGGAGAGACCACUAAGGGGCAGGGGAGAUCUCUAAGGAAUGGAAG
Non-coding RNA from Pelobates cultripes (western spadefoot toad), 300 nucleotides. The record is from the annotation of a GenBank genome assembly. Lineage: Eukaryota; Metazoa; Chordata; Amphibia; Anura; Pelobatidae.